This 253-nucleotide ribosomal RNA is filed under the name uncultured bacterium. Its description in RNAcentral is "partial 16S ribosomal RNA". It matches the Rfam family "Bacterial small subunit ribosomal RNA", at positions 524 to 776 of the family's 1533-position model. The record is from RNAcentral.
UACGUAGGGUGCAAGCGUUAUUCGGAAUUACUGGGCGUAAAGCGUGCGUAGGCGGUUUGUUAAGUCUGUUGUGAAAGCCCCGGGCUCAACCUGGGAAUGGCAAUGGAUACUGGCAAGCUAGAGUGCGGUAGAGGGUAGUGGAAUUCCCGGUGUAGCGGUGAAAUGCGUAGAGAUCGGGAGGAACACCAGUGGCGAAGGCGGCUACCUGGACCAGCACUGACACUGAGGCACGAAGGCGUGGGGAGCAAACAGG